UUCUAUUCCCCCUGGCCCGUGAAAAAGCCAGUGCUGACAGAUCUUAUAAGUGUGACAACUUAUAUGUUAGCUACUGCUAACUUGAACUGUCACAACAAUUUUUCACUGGGGAGUCGGUGGCUUUGGUCUCUGACCAUGCUCCGACUCGACUGUCGCCUCAGCCCUGCACGACUUGCUGAGUGUGGCGGACCCGAG
Molecule: non-coding RNA, 195 nt
Organism: Perkinsus marinus ATCC 50983
Lineage: Eukaryota; Perkinsozoa; Perkinsida; Perkinsidae
Source: Rfam